GAGUACGGCCGCAAGGCUGAAACUUAAAGGAAUUGGCGGGGGAGCACCACAAGGCGUGAAGCUUGCGGUUCAAUUGGAGUCAACGCCGGGAACCUUACCGGGGGCGACAGCAGGAUGAAUGCCAGAUUGAAGGUCUUGCUGGACAAGCUGAGAGGAGGUGCAUGGCCGUCGCCAGUUCGUGCCGUGAGGUGUCCUGUUAAGUCAGGCAACGAUCGAGACCCGCACCCCUAGUUGCUACUGAGGAAGUUUUCCGAGGGGCACUCUAGGGGGACUGCCGUCGACAAGACGGAGGAAGGAGCGGGCCACGGCAGGUCAGUAUGCCCCGAAUCCCCCGGGCUACACGCGAGCUGCAAUGGCAGGGACAAUGGGUUCCGACCCUGAAAAGGGGAGGCAAUCUCUAAACCCUGCCUCAGUUUGGAUCGAAGGCUGGAACCCGCCUUCGUGAAAAUGGAAUGCCUAGUAAUCGCGCGUCAUCAUCGCGCGGUGAAUACGUCCCCGCUCCUUGCACACACCGCCCGU
RNAcentral lists this ribosomal RNA (519 nucleotides) under uncultured bacterium. RNAcentral describes it as "bacterial SSU rRNA". It matches the Rfam family "Archaeal small subunit ribosomal RNA", at positions 833 to 1353 of the family's 1478-position model. The record is from RNAcentral.